GCUUGUGGUAGGCAAAGUUGGCUUUAGAGAUAUAUAGUCUGAACGUGUGGCUGCUUAAUGGUUUAAUGGAGAACAUCAAUAUCAGAGAGUGGCCGAGUCUGUCACAAUGCUCUUCCUUGCUACCUGAGCACCAGGGACCUCCUGCAUACUUCUCGCUGGAUAUGUCAGUGUGCUGUGGUUGACUUGAAAAUGAAAUUGGAAGAGUUGCUCAUGUGCAACUGCAGCUGGCUUGGAGGAGCAAUGCAAUGUCAAGGAGCAGACAUAAGCCUCCAAACCUUGGCAUGGACAGCACGUGGAGUUGGUGUGGGACAGAGAUGGCAGGGACAGCAUUCUUUCCGCUAACCAACUCCGCAGCGCAGAAGGGGAAAACAGUGCUGUGAACUUGCUGGAACGAGGCGAAAUGUGAGUGG
This is a long non-coding RNA of Cygnus olor (mute swan), 410 nucleotides long. RefSeq lists it as uncharacterized. The transcript is spliced from 3 exons. The record is from RefSeq and is a predicted model, not a curated record. NCBI's taxonomy places the organism in Eukaryota, Metazoa, Chordata, Aves, Anseriformes, Anatidae.